GAACUGAAGAGUUUGAUCCUGGCUCAGAUUGAACGCUGGCGGAAUGCUUUACACAUGCAAGUCGAGCGGCAGCGCGGGGCAACCUGGCGGCGAGCGGCGAACGGGUGAGUAAUGUAUCGGAACGUACCCAGUCGUGGGGGAUAACUAUCCGAAAGGAUAGCUAAUACCGCAUACGUCCUGAGGGAGAAAGCGGGGGAUCGCAAGACCUCGCGCGAUUGGAGCGGCCGAUAUCGGAUUAGCUAGUUGGUGAGGUAAAGGCUCACCAAGGCGACGAUCCGUAGCUGGUCUGAGAGGACGACCAGCCACACUGGAACUGAGACACGGUCCAGACU
Molecule: ribosomal RNA, 332 nt
Filed under: Sulfuritalea sp.
Lineage: Bacteria; Pseudomonadati; Pseudomonadota; Betaproteobacteria; Nitrosomonadales; Sterolibacteriaceae
Description: bacterial SSU rRNA
Rfam family: Bacterial small subunit ribosomal RNA
Source: RNAcentral